CGGACGCACAUCGAUCGCAUCGGACGUCCGAGAAAUUUCGCAAAGAUUUGAUGACUCUCUGACGACGUUCGGACGCAGGGUUCGGACGUCCGACAGGUGGUUUGGACGUCCGACAGGCCAACGGCUAGUUUUGACAGCAUUUAAUAUUUGACCGUUGGAGAGCCUUUUGGAGCCAUUUCUCACCUUCUAUAAAAACCCCAAAGCACAAGAAGACAAGAGACUUUUGCCAACACAAAAUACAAGCUUACAAGUGAGAUUUUUGAGUAGAAAG
This 271-nucleotide long non-coding RNA is filed under the name Coffea arabica (coffee). RNAcentral's name for it is "long non-coding RNA (CARA_LNC006287)". The record is from RNAcentral. Lineage: Eukaryota; Viridiplantae; Streptophyta; Magnoliopsida; Gentianales; Rubiaceae.